UUAAGCGACUAAGCGUACACGGUGGAUGCCCUGGCAGUCAGAGGCGAUGAAGGACGUGCUAAUCUGCGAAAAGCGUCGGUAAGGUGAUAUGAACCGUUAUAGCCGGCGAUGUCCGAAUGGGGAAACCCAGUGCAAUUCGUUGCACUAUCGUUAACUGAAUACAUAGGUUAACGAGGCGAACCGGGGGAACUGAAACAUCUAAGUACCCCGAGGAAAAGAAAUCAACCGAGAUUCCCCCAGUAGCGGCGAGCGAACGGGGAGCAGCCCAGAGUCUGAAUCAGCUUGUGUGUUAGUGGAACGGUCUGGAAAGUCCGACGGUACAGGGUGAUAGUCCCGUACACCAAAAUGCACAGGCUGUGAACUCGAAGAGUAGGGCGGGACACGUGGUAUCCUGUCUGAAUAUGGGGGGACCAUCCUCCAAGGCUAAAUACUCCUGACUGACCGAUAGUGAACCAGUACCGUGAGGGAAAGGCGAAAAGAACCCCGGCGAGGGGAGUGAAAAAGAACCUGAAACCGUGUACGUACAAGCAGUGGGAGCACCUUCGGGUGUGACUGCGUACCUUUUGUAUAAUGGGUCAGCGACUUAUAUUCUGUAGCAAGGUUAACCGUAUAGGGGAGCCGCAGGGAAACCGAGUCUUAACUGGGCGUUAAGUUGCAGGGUAUAGACCCGAAACCCGGUGAUCUAGCCAUGGGCAGGUUGAAGGUUGGGUAACACUAACUGGAGGACCGAACCGACUAAUGUUGAAAAAUUAGCGGAUGACUUGUGGCUGGGGGUGAAAGGCCAAUCAAACCGGGAGAUAGCUGGUUCUCCCCGAAAGCUAUUUAGGUAGCGCCUCGUGAACUCAUCUUCGGGGGUAGAGCACUGUUUCGGCUAGGGGGUCAUCCCGACUUACCAACCCGAUGCAAACUACGAAUACCGAAGAAUGUUAUCACGGGAGACACACGGCGGGUGCUAACGUCCGUCGUGAAGAGGGAAACAACCCAGACCGCCAGCUAAGGUCCCAAAGUCAUGGUUAAGUGGGAAACGAUGUGGGAAGGCACAGACAGCCAGGAUGUUGGCUUAGAAGCAGCCAUCAUUUAAAGAAAGCGUAAUAGCUCACUGGUCGAGUCGGCCUGCGCGGAAGAUGUAACGGGGCUAAACCAUGCACCGAAGCUGCGGCAGCGACACUAUGUGUUGUUGGGUAGGGGAGCGUUCUGUAAGCCUGCGAAGGUGACCUGUGAGGCAUGCUGGAGGUAUCAGAAGUGCGAAUGCUGACAUAAGUAACGAUAAAGCGGGUGAAAAGCCCGCUCGCCGGAAGACCAAGGGUUCCUGUCCAACGUUAAUCGGGGCAGGGUGAGUCGACCCCUAAGGCGAGGCCGAAAGGCGUAGUCGAUGGGAAACAGGUUAAUAUUCCUGUACUUGGUGUUACUGCGAAGGGGGGACGGAGAAGGCUAUGUUAGCCGGGCGACGGUUGUCCCGGUUUAAGCAUGUAGGCUGAUUGUCCAGGCAAAUCCGGAUAAUCAAGGCUGAGGUGUGAUGACGAGGCACUACGGUGCUGAAGUAACAAAUGCCCUGCUUCCAGGAAAAGCCUCUAAGCAUCAGGUAACAUUAAAUCGUACCCCAAACCGACACAGGUGGUCAGGUAGAGAAUACCAAGGCGCUUGAGAGAACUCGGGUGAAGGAACUAGGCAAAAUGGUGCCGUAACUUCGGGAGAAGGCACGCUGGUGUGUAGGUGAAGCCCCUGCGGAUGGAGCUGAGACCAGUCGAAGAUACCAGCUGGCUGCAACUGUUUAUUAAAAACACAGCACUGUGCAAACACGAAAGUGGACGUAUACGGUGUGACGCCUGCCCGGUGCCGGAAGGUUAAUUGAUGGGGUUAUCCGUAAGGAGAAGCUCUUGAUCGAAGCCCCGGUAAACGGCGGCCGUAACUAUAACGGUCCUAAGGUAGCGAAAUUCCUUGUCGGGUAAGUUCCGACCUGCACGAAUGGCGUAAUGAUGGCCAGGCUGUCUCCACCCGAGACUCAGUGAAAUUGAACUCGCUGUGAAGAUGCAGUGUACCCGCGGCAAGACGGAAAGACCCCGUGAACCUUUACUAUAGCUUGACACUGAACAUUGAGCCUUGAUGUGUAGGAUAGGUGGGAGGCUUUGAAGCGUGGACGCCAGUCUGCGUGGAGCCAACCUUGAAAUACCACCCUUUAAUGUUUGAUGUUCUAACGUUGGCCCCUGACCGGGGUUGCGGACAGUGUCUGGUGGGUAGUUUGACUGGGGCGGUCUCCUCCCAAAGCGUAACGGAGGAGCACGAAGGUUAGCUAAUCCUGGUCGGACAUCAGGAGGUUAGUGCAAUGGCAUAAGCUAGCUUGACUGCGAGCGUGACGGCGCGAGCAGGUGCGAAAGCAGGUCAUAGUGAUCCGGUGGUUCUGAAUGGAAGGGCCAUCGCUCAACGGAUAAAAGGUACUCCGGGGAUAACAGGCUGAUACCGCCCAAGAGUUCAUAUCGACGGCGGUGUUUGGCACCUCGAUGUCGGCUCAUCACAUCCUGGGGCUGAAGUAGGUCCCAAGGGUAUGGCUGUUCGCCAUUUAAAGUGGUACGCGAGCUGGGUUUAGAACGUCGUGAGACAGUUCGGUCCCUAUCUGCCGUGGGCGCUGGAGAAUUGAGGGGGGCUGCUCCUAGUACGAGAGGACCGGAGUGGACGCAUCACUGGUGUUCGGGUUGUCAUGCCAAUGGCACUGCCCGGUAGCUAAAUGCGGAAGAGAUAAGUGCUGAAAGCAUCUAAGCACGAAACUUGCCCCGAGAUNAAAUCGUACCCCAAACCGACACAGGUGGUCAGGUAGAGAAUACCAAGGCGCUUGAGAGAACUCGGGUGAAGGAACUAGGCAAAAUGGUGCCGUAACUUCGGGAGAAGGCACGCUGGUGUGUAGGUGAAGUCCCUGCGGAUGGAGCUGAGACCAGUCGAAGAUACCAGCUGGCUGCAACUGUUUAUUAAAAACACAGCACUGUGCAAACACGAAAGUGGACGUAUACGGUGUGACGCCUGCCCGGUGCCGGAAGGUUAAUUGAUGGGGUUAUCCGUAAGGAGAAGCUCUUGAUCGAAGCCCCGGUAAACGGCGGCCGUAACUAUAACGGUCCUAAGGUAGCGAAAUUCCUUGUCGGGUAAGUUCCGACCUGCACGAAUGGCGUAAUGAUGGCCAGGCUGUCUCCACCCGAGACUCAGUGAAAUUGAACUCGCUGUGAAGAUGCAGUGUACCCGCGGCAAGACGGAAAGACCCCGUGAACCUUUACUAUAGCUUGACACUGAACAUUGAGCCUUGAUGUGUAGGAUAGGUGGGAGGCUUUGAAGCGUGGACGCCAGUCUGCGUGGAGCCAACCUUGAAAUACCACCCUUUAAUGUUUGAUGUUCUAACGUUGGCCCCUGACCGGGGUUGCGGACAGUGUCUGGUGGGUAGUUUGACUGGGGCGGUCUCCUCCCAAAGCGUAACGGAGGAGCACGAAGGUUAGCUAAUCCUGGUCGGACAUCAGGAGGUUAGUGCAAUGGCAUAAGCUAGCUUGACUGCGAGCGUGACGGCGCGAGCAGGUGCGAAAGCAGGUCAUAGUGAUCCGGUGGUUCUGAAUGGAAGGGCCAUCGCUCAACGGAUAAAAGGUACUCCGGGGAUAACAGGCUGAUACCGCCCAAGAGUUCAUAUCGACGGCGGUGUUUGGCACCUCGAUGUCGGCUCAUCACAUCCUGGGGCUGAAGUAGGUCCCAAGGGUAUGGCUGUUCGCCAUUUAAAGUGGUACGCGAGCUGGGUUUAGAACGUCGUGAGACAGUUCGGUCCCUAUCUGCCGUGGGCGCUGGAGAAUUGAGGGGGGCUGCUCCUAGUACGAGAGGACCGGAGUGGACGCAUCACUGGUGUUCGGGUUGUCAUGCCAAUGGCACUGCCCGGUAGCUAAAUGCGGAAGAGAUAAGUGCUGAAAGCAUCUAAGCACGAAACUUGCCCCGAGAUGAGUUCUCCCUGAGACUUUAAGUCUCCUGAAGGAACGUUAAAGACGAUGACGUUGAUAGGCCGGGUGUGUAAGCGCAGCGAUGCGUUGAGCUAACCGGUACUAAUGAACCGUGAGGCUUAACCUU
RNAcentral lists this ribosomal RNA (4086 nucleotides) under Klebsiella pneumoniae MGH 47. RNAcentral's name for it is "bacterial LSU rRNA". The stretch from base 1 to 2835 matches the Rfam family "Bacterial large subunit ribosomal RNA". The record is from RNAcentral. Lineage: Bacteria; Pseudomonadati; Pseudomonadota; Gammaproteobacteria; Enterobacterales; Enterobacteriaceae.